UACGUAGGGGGCAAGCGUUGUCCGGAAUCAUUGGGCGUAAAGCGCGUGUAGGCGGCCCGGUAAGUCCGCUGUGAAAGUCGGGGGCUCAACCCUCGAAUGCCGGUGGAUACUGUCGGGCUAGAGUGCGGGAGAGGCGAGUGGAAUUCCAGGUGUAGCGGUGAAAUGCGCAGAUAUCGGGAGGAACACCAAUGGCGAAGGCAGCUCGCUGGGACGGUACUGACGCUGAGGCGCGAAAGCGUGGGGAGCAAACAGG
Molecule: ribosomal RNA, 253 nt
Filed under: uncultured bacterium
Lineage: Bacteria
Description: partial 16S ribosomal RNA
Rfam family: Bacterial small subunit ribosomal RNA
Source: RNAcentral